UCACAUGGUGGAUUUGUGGUUUUAGGUUUAGUUUUCUCCCUUUGAUAACAAAAGACCUUAAGGAUUUUGGAUCAAUCAAUUCACCAACUCAUUUUGAGAUUUUUACCCCGAACUACGAGGUUUUGAUCCUAAUCUUUUUCAAGAUGGUACGUAGGCAAUGGGUUUAUCCAUCCAAACACAAAAUGUAAAUAAACUUGUAUAUUUUUUUCUCAUCUCUUCAAUCAUGUUUG
Molecule: long non-coding RNA, 230 nt
Filed under: Lathyrus oleraceus (garden pea)
Lineage: Eukaryota; Viridiplantae; Streptophyta; Magnoliopsida; Fabales; Fabaceae
Description: Pisum sativum (pea) long non-coding RNA (PSAT_LNC023717)
Source: RNAcentral